This 72-nucleotide transfer RNA is filed under the name Camelus bactrianus (Bactrian camel). It matches the Rfam family "tRNA". From Rfam's summary of the family: Transfer RNA (tRNA) molecules are approximately 80 nucleotides in length. RNAcentral also lists the same sequence under 2 other names. Lineage: Eukaryota; Metazoa; Chordata; Mammalia; Artiodactyla; Camelidae. The record is from Rfam by way of RNAcentral.
AGGGGUAUAGCUCAGUGGUAGACUACAUGCUUAGCAUGUACGAGUUUCUGGGUUCAAUCCUCAGUGCCUCCA